Molecule: non-coding RNA, 481 nt
Organism: Misgurnus anguillicaudatus (oriental weatherfish)
Lineage: Eukaryota; Metazoa; Chordata; Actinopteri; Cypriniformes; Cobitidae
Source: RefSeq, a predicted model, not a curated record
AAAGUAUUUAACAUAGUUUAGUUAAUUAUAACGCAAGUUUUCUCCAAGAAUUGCAAUGUGGGCUUGGUUCAGCUCCCGCAUAGAUUGACUGAGCUCGUGAGCUAACAUCCCUUUCUUGGUGUGUCUUGAUGUUUUAUAUUGGCUAAAGACAAGAUAUAUCUGCAAAUGCCGGUUCCAUGUCACAUGGCUUAUUCGAGACUAGAUCCACAAAAAACUCUGCAGAUUUUGUUACCAUCAACUUGCAUUAUACAACUGACAGACUGAAACGGUUGGACACAAAAAUCUACAUUUGUGUUCCACUGGAGAAACAAAGUCACCUACAUCUUGGAUGGCCUGGGGACUACCUGACCUGUUCCUGUUAAGAGCUAGUCACUCUUUGUGGAAUGUUCCUGGCCCAUUUUUUUCCAAGUUUUUACAAAAGUUUUUUCAAUGACCUCAAAAUUGAUGUGUAAAAAUAAUAAUAAACUUGAAUUUGUUUAAA